AUUUCAGAGUCGAAGCUCAUGGUUCAAUCAUUGAUGUCAGCUUGGCUGCUUACUUCAUUGUAAAUGCCUUUCACUGUUCGAUUAUUUUUUCUGAAGAUGCCUGCAAGUGAGAUAGAUGGUGAAGGAAUCAGAGCUGAUCUCGAGGUCUCUGAUGCCACUGUUGUUGCAAUAUAUGUUUGGUUCUCAAAAUUCAAUCCCUGAUGAGCUUCGGAAAUUGGUCGAGGUCGAGGUCGAGACAGGAAUGAUUGAUGGUGAAAUGGAUGCCAUUUCUUCUUGCAGCCUGUUCUCAAAGUUCUUGUUUGCAAAUGAUAGAUAUGGAGUAUUUUGAUUGACAAGAGAUAAUGACAUUUCUUGACAAUUCUAGAACAGUCCAUCUGAGUUCUUUUGUCAAGCUGCAUCAUUUAACCCCAGCACAAGUCCAGUUUCUGCUAAGCAAUCACUCAUGGCUGAGCAAUCACUCGUGACAAAAUUGCAGCUUCAUUGCGUCAAAUACCCAAAUUUGUGUCCAGCAUGUUCCUCGUAUUUCUAAUGUGGCUGAACACUGAAUUGCACGGUUUAGCCUCCGUGAAAGGGGCUUAUUGUUUUGUCUUUUUUUCUCCUCAUUUUCCAUGCUUAACUGGGAAAUAGAUUGUUAACAUACAUAGCUCAAUUUGUUCCAUUGGAUGCCUAAGUUGAUGCAG
Molecule: non-coding RNA, 680 nt
Organism: Prunus mume (Japanese apricot)
Lineage: Eukaryota; Viridiplantae; Streptophyta; Magnoliopsida; Rosales; Rosaceae
Source: RefSeq, a predicted model, not a curated record